GCUGAAUAAAGCCGUGUCUCAUCUACCUGCUGUCUCCCAAGUGUUCUUCCAGCUCCCUGCCCCUCAUCAACCCACUCUCCUCAGACCUCAGCUGGGGCUUGAACCUGAUAAUUGGUGUAGUCAUCAGGAUGAGAUUUAGAAGUGGUGGUGCCCCUCUUGUGACAGCAUUUGGCAGUGUGCAGUUGGGCCAUCAAUAAAUCCAAGGUCCAAGGGCCGGAAUUGUCUGCCAAAUUCUUGGGAGUUAUUUGCUCAGCCACAGGUUGGCAUGCUCCAACAACAUUGUGGACUGGGCUCACACCUAUGCUGAGGUGGCCAAUGUCUCCAACUGUUAGAUCUGCACCACCCUUCCAGCAGCAGCUGUGGAUGGCUUGCCUUGGCAUGUGCAUCCAGCUUUUGUGAAGAACUGGACAUGGCUAGAAACUUGGGGUCCCACAGACAAUGGGCGGGAUGCAACAUGGUGAGCUUUGGAUGGGGGUGUCACAAAACCCAUGGCAAGCCUGCCCCCUGGCUGACUCAUAGCAUCCAUGAUGAAUGGGGCUGGCUAAUGGGAGAAAACAUGGUGGCCCCAUUGCAAGUACCACGAUGUAUAGAGCAACACUGGGGUAAGGUCACUGUGGGAUGGUUGCCUGCUGAGACCUGUGCAAACGUAACACAUGCCACCAUGCCAAGGAUGUGGUGGAACAAGCAGCCCUACCAAGGCUGGGCCCCCAUGGACUUUGUGCCUGCUGGGAGUUUAUAGGUCUGUGGGGACAUAGGAUGGCCAUAUCUGCCAGCCAACUAGACUGGACAUUGUACCUGGGAGUGGCCUUCUGUGCCUGCCACUGUGCUUCCCACAUUGCUUAGUCACACACAUAACUGGGAGGUGCUGUGUUCCCAGUUUUUGUGAGUGCAUUGAGCCCCUAGUGGUUCUACCCCUUAGCAAUAACUGUCCCUGGAACAGGUGUCAUCACUGUAGAAAUGCAGGUUACAGCCCUUGCAGAACACAGAGAUUGGGCCCAUGAAUUACACCUGAGCUGCCCUCCUUUUGUUAAUUGAUGAGUUUGAUCAGAUCAGGAAGGUGGUGAUGCAAAACCGGAUGGCCUUAGACAUAGUCACAGCUGCUCAAGGUGGCACCUGUGCCCUUGUAGGGACAGAGUGUUGUACAUUCAUCCCUGACAACCACCAGAACAUAGUGGCAGCUUUGCAGGGGGUGUCAUGUCAUAGGAGAUUAAGGCAAUUGAAUACCUUACUGAUGACCGCCUGCAGAGAUGGUGGGUGUCUCUGGGCUCUGGCCUACACUGGGCUCUUAUAAUCAUAGGUAGCAUAGCAGGAAUAUUAGUAGUAGGUUGUUGCUCUCUUUAUUGUUGCUGUGGCCUCUGGGUCCAGGGUGCUCCCCUAUGUGCACGAGUUCCCAUUAAGAGGACCCCCUUGGCCUAGGGGGCGGAGUGUAAGGAACAUGGCUGUGUUGCUGCCAGGCAGGCAUAGGCCGAGGUAAAAAUCCUGCAUGACACAGUGGGAUUAGAGCACACGCGCGCAAUCCUGUGCCUGAUAUAAUCACAGCUAGGUAGACAUAACACAGAGAAGCUCAUCAUUUGGCUCUCAGCCACUAUCAUUUGUGAGGUGUACAAAUGUAACACUGACACUGUGAAAGAGCUGCUGAAUAAAGCCAUGUCUCAUCUACCUGCUCUCUCUCGAGUGUUCUUCCAGCUCCCUGCCCCCCGCCCCAUCUACCCACACCCCUCUGACCUCAGCUGGGGCUUGAAACUGACAUUUGCUUUAUUGUACUUUGCAGAUACUUAAAAAAAAAACCAAAUUAAAGUUUUGUGGCAACCCUGUGUUGAGCAAGCCUAUUGGUGCCAUUUUGUCCUCACUUCAUGUAUGUCACAUUUUGGUAAUUCUUGCAAUAUUUCAAUUUUUGUCAUUAUUAUGACAUCUGUUAUAGUGGUCUGUGAUCAAUGAUUUUUGAUGGUACUAUUGUAAUACUUUGUGGUGCCACAAACUGUACCCAUAUAAGAUGGAAAACUUAAUUGAUAAAUGCUGUGUGUGUUCUGAUUGUCCCAAUGACCAGCUGUUCCCUCAUCUCUCCCCUCUCUUUGGGCAUCUCUACUCCCUGAGACAGAACAAUAUUGAAAUUAGGCCAAGUAAUAACCGAACAAUGGUCUUUAAGUGUUUAACUGAAAGGAAGAAUCACAUGUUUCUCACUUUAAAUCAAAAGCUAGAAAUGACUAAGCUUAGUGAAGAACACAUGUCAAAAGCCAAGAUAGGCCGAAAGCUAGGCCUCUUGCACCAAACAGCCAAGCUGUGAAUGCAAAGAAAAAGAUCUCAAAGGAAAUUUAAAGUGCCACUCCAAUGAACAGAUGAAUGAAAAGAAAGUGAAACUCCCUUAUUGAAAUGGAGAAAGUAUUAGUGGUCUGGAUAGAAGAUCAAACCACCUACAACAUUCCCUUAAACCAAAGCCUGAUCCAGAGAAAGGUCCCAACUCUCUUCAAUUCUAUGAUGGCAGAGAGAGGUGAGGAAGCAGCAGAAGUUGGAAGCUAGCAGAUGUUGGUUCAUGAGGUUUAAGAAGCCUUCCCUGGAACAUAAAAGUGCAAGGUGAAGCAGCAAGUGCUGAUGUAGAAGCUGCAGCAAGUUUUCCAGAAGAUCUAGCUAAGAUAAUCAAUGAAGGUGGCUACAACUAAAGAACAGAUUUUCAAGGUAGACAAAACAGUCUCCUAUUGGAAGGAGAUGCCAUCUAGGACUUUCAUAGCUAGAGAGGAUAAAUCAAUACCUGACUUCAAAGCUUCAAAUGACAAGCUCACCUCCUUGUUAGGGGCUAAUGCAGCUGGUGACUUUAAGUUGGAGCCAAUGCUUAUUUGCCAUUCUGGAAAUUCUAGGGCCCUUAGAACUACGCUGAAUCUACUCUGGCUGUUCUCUAUAAAUGCCUGGAUGACAGCACAUCUGUUUACAGCAUAAUUUACUGAAUAUUUUAAGCCCACUGUUGAUGUAAAAGGAAAGCUCAGAAAAACAGAAAAAGAAUCCUUUCAACAUAUUACUGCUGAUUGACAAUGCACCUAGUCACCCAAAAGCUCUGGAGGUAUACAAGGAGAUUAAAGUUGUUUUUAUCUCCUGCUAAUCUCCUGUUUUUAUCUCCUGCUAAUACAACAUCUAUCCUGCAGUCCAUGGAUUAAGGAGAAAUUGACUUUUAAGUCUUAUCAUUUAAGAAAUAUAUUUUGUAAGGCUACAGAAGCCAUAGAUAAUGAUUCUUCUGAUGGAUCUGGGCAAAGUAAAUUGAAAAUCUGGCGAGGCUACAGCAUCCUAGAUGCCAGUAAGACCAUUUGUGAUUCAUGGGAGACGGCCAAAAUAUCAACAUUUACAGGAGUUUGGAAGAAGUUGACUCCAACCCUCAAGGAUGUCUUUGAGGGGUUCAAAACUUCAGUGGAGGAAGUAACUGCAGAGGUGAUAGAAAUAAGAGAACUAGAAAUGCAGCUUGAAGAUGUAACUGAAUUGCUGCAACCACCUGAUAAAACUUGAAUGGAUGAAGAGUUGCUUCUUAGAAACGAGCAAAGAAAGUGGAUUCUUGAGAUAGAAUGUACUCUUGGUGAACACAGUUGAAAUGACAACAAAGAAUUUAGAAUAUUCCAUAGAUUUAUUUGAUAAAGUAGCAGCAGUGUGUGUGAGGACCGACUCCAAUUUUGAAAAUUCUACUGUGGGUAAAAUGUUAUCAUGUUGCAUCACAGGCUACAGAGAAAUCUUUCAUGAAAGGAAGGGUCAAUGGAUGCAGCAACAUUAUUGUUGCCACAUGACAACAAUGACACCUUCAUGGUUGUCUCAUUUUAAGAAAUCGCCACAGCCAUCCCAGCUUUCAGCAACCACCACCCUAAUCAGUUAGCAGCCAUAAACAUUGAGGCAAGCAAGACCCUAACAGCAAAAAGGUUGACUCAAGGAAGGCUCAGAUGAUCAUAAGCAUUCUGUUUUGUUUUUUGUUUUUUUGAGUCGGAGACUUGCUCUGUCGCCCAGGCUGGAGUGCAGUGGCACGAUCUCUUCUCACUGCAAGCUCCGCCUCCCAGGUUCACGCCAUUCUCCUGCCUCAGCCUCCCGAGUAGCUGGGACUACAGGCGCCCGCUACCAUGCCCGGCUAAUUUUUUCUAUUUUUAGUAGAGACGGGGUUUCACCGUGUUAGCCAGGAUGGUCUCCGUCUCCUGACCUCGUGAUCCGCCCGCCUCGGCCUCCCAAAGUGCUGGGAUUACAGGCGUGAGCCACCAUGCCCGGCCAAUCAUCAGCAUUUUAAAGCUAAAGUAUGUACAUAGUUUUUUUAGACAUAUUUACAGACACAUUUUUAUAUGCACUGGGAAACCAAAAAAAUUGGGUCACUGGCUUUUAUUGUAAUAUUUGCCUUUUUGCAGUGGUCUGGAACCAAACUUGCAGUAUCUCUGAGGUAUGCCUGUAUAUUACAAAGCUACAGUAAUUAAAACAGAAUGAUAUUGGCAUAAAGACAGACACACUAACCAAUAGAACAUGAUAGAAAGCCCCAAAAUAAACCCACACAUCUAUAGUCAAUUAAUUUUCCACAAAGAGGCCAAUAACUCACCACAAUGAGGAUAGGACAGUAUUUUCAAUAAAUGAUGUUUAGAAAUCAGGACAUCACAUGUAGAAGAUUGAAAUUGGACUCUUAUCUCACUCCUUAUACGAUAAUCAACUAAAAAUAGCUUAAAGAUUAAAUGUAAGACUUCUGUAAAAUUACUAGUAGAAAACAUGUGUAAAAACUGUAUAACAUUGGUCUGUGCAAUGAUUUCUUGCAUAUGACCCCAAAAGCACAGGCAACAAAAGCAAAAAUAGAAAAAUGGGAUUGCAUCAAACUAUAAAGCUUCUAAAAAAACAGUGAAAAGACAACCCAUGAACUGGGAGAAAAUAUUUGCAAAUCAUACAUCAGAUAAAGG
RNAcentral lists this long non-coding RNA (4895 nucleotides) under Homo sapiens (human). Its description in RNAcentral is "HSALNT0320425". The record is from RNAcentral. Lineage: Eukaryota; Metazoa; Chordata; Mammalia; Primates; Hominidae.